CCUACGGGAGACAGCAGUGGGGAAUCUUCCACAAUGGGCGCAAGCCUGCUGCAGCGACGCCGCGUGAGUGAAGAAGGAUUUCGGUAUGUACAGCUCUAUCAGCAGGGAAGAAGCAAGAUGGUAGCUGACUAAGAAGCCUUGGCUAAAUACGUGCCAACAGGCGCGGUAAUAUGCAUGGGGCAAGCGUUAUCCGGACUUACUUGGUGCAAAGUGAUCGUAGGCGGUAUGGUAAGUCUGAAGUGAAAGCCUGGGGCUUAAAUCUUGGAGUGCUAUGGAAACUGUGAGACUUGAGUGCUGGAGAGGGCAGUGGAAUUCCAAGUGUAGCGGUGGAAUGCGUAGAUAUUAGG
Molecule: ribosomal RNA, 347 nt
Filed under: uncultured bacterium
Lineage: Bacteria
Description: partial 16S ribosomal RNA
Rfam family: Bacterial small subunit ribosomal RNA
Source: RNAcentral